AUUGAACGCUGGCGGCGGGCCUAACACAUGCAAGUCGAACGGUAACAGGAAACAGCUUGCUGUUUCGCUGACGAGUGGCGGACGGGUGAGUAAUGUCUGGGAAACUGCCUGAUGGAGGGGGAUAACUACUGGAAACGGUAGCUAAUACCGCAUAACGUCGCAAGACCAAAGAGGGGGACCUUCGGGCCUCUUGCCAUCGGAUGUGCCCAGAUGGGAUUAGCUAGUAGGUGGGGUAACGGCUCACCUAGGCGACGAUCCCUAGCUGGUCUGAGAGGAUGACCAGCCACACUGGAACUGAGACACGGUCCAGACUCCUACGGGAGGCAGCAGUGGGGAAUAUUGCACAAUGGGCGCAAGCCUGAUGCAGCCAUGCCGCGUGUAUGAAGAAGGCCUUCGGGUUGUAAAGUACUUUCAGCGGGGAGGAAGGGAGUAAAGUUAAUACCUUUGCUCAUUGACGUUACCCGCAGAAGAAGCACCGGCUAACUCCGUG
Molecule: ribosomal RNA, 490 nt
Filed under: uncultured bacterium
Lineage: Bacteria
Description: partial 16S ribosomal RNA
Rfam family: Bacterial small subunit ribosomal RNA
Source: RNAcentral